Strongylocentrotus purpuratus (purple sea urchin) is the source of this 73-nucleotide non-coding RNA. The record is from Rfam. Lineage: Eukaryota; Metazoa; Echinodermata; Echinoidea; Camarodonta; Strongylocentrotidae.
GGAGUGUUGGCUCAGUCAAUAGAGCGUCCGCCUCACAACCGGGAGGUCGUGGGUUCGAUCCCCGGUCGCGUCA